AUGUCCGACGGAGAGGUACCGCCUCGCCAGGCCGCGGAGGACUUAGUCAGGGGAGUGGCGAACCGCGCCGCGCCGGGCUCGGCCGGCGAAGAGGACGAGGAGAUUUACGACGACGAGAGCUCCGAUUACAACUCGUACGACGACGACGACGACGAAUCCGAUGAGAGCGGUUCGUACUACGAAGACCAUGAGGAUGAGGAGGAGGAGGAGGAGGAGGGUGCCGGCGGGGACAGGGCCUCCGGGAGCGCGGAGGAGGAGGCUGCGUCGGUCGGCGUGGGCGGCGGCGGCCCGAAGGCGGAGGGGAGUCCCCGGGCGGCGGCCACCUGCUGCAUCUGCAUGGAUCCCUGGGCCUCCUACGGCGGCCACCUGCUGCAUCUUGUUUACUACCAUGGGACUUUCAUUUAUGUUGUCUCCGCCAAGGUUUUCGAGUCAACGAGUCAUUCUGGGUAG
This 450-nucleotide ribosomal RNA is filed under the name Triticum aestivum (bread wheat). RNAcentral's name for it is "partial small subunit ribosomal RNA". The record is from RNAcentral. Lineage: Eukaryota; Viridiplantae; Streptophyta; Magnoliopsida; Poales; Poaceae.